This 452-nucleotide ribosomal RNA is filed under the name uncultured bacterium. RNAcentral's name for it is "bacterial SSU rRNA". It matches the Rfam family "Bacterial small subunit ribosomal RNA", at positions 29 to 526 of the family's 1533-position model. The record is from RNAcentral.
AACGAACGCUGGCGGCAGGCUUAACACAUGCAAGUCGAGCGAAGACUUCGGUCUUAGCGGCGGACGGGUGAGUAACGCGUGGGAACGUGCCCUUCUCUACGGAACAGUCCUGGGAAACUGGGUUUAAUACCGUAUACGCCCUUUUGGGGAAAGAUUUAUCGGAGAAGGAUCGGCCCGCGUUGGAUUAGGUAGUUGGUGGGGUAAUGGCCUACCAAGCCGACGAUCCAUAGCUGGUUUGAGAGGAUGAUCAGCCACACUGGGACUGAGACACGGCCCAGACUCCUACGGGAGGCAGCAGUGGGGAAUAUUGGACAAUGGGCGAAACCCUGAUCCAGCCAUGCCGCGUGAGUGAUGAAGGCCUUAGGGUUGUAAAGCUCUUUUAGCAGGGAAGAUAAUGACGGUACCUGCAGAAAAAGCCCCGGCUAACUUCGUGCCAGCAGCCGCAGUAAUAC